Carassius gibelio (silver crucian carp) is the source of this 1122-nucleotide non-coding RNA. The record is from the annotation of a RefSeq genome assembly. NCBI's taxonomy places the organism in Eukaryota, Metazoa, Chordata, Actinopteri, Cypriniformes, Cyprinidae.
AGAGGAUUCAGACAAAGUUAACCAUAGUUGCUCAUUUGCUCCAUGUCAGUAAUGCUGUUCUUGUUUUGUCUGUGGCUUAUCUGCCUCUUAACAGGUGAUGCCUCUAGUGAGGGAAUAGCACCAGUCUCUCCGAAUGCAUUUGUCUCAGAAGGGAACACCGUCACCCUGUCCUGCAAUUACAACGGAUCAGCUGCUACAGAUGCUCUCCACUGGUAUCGUCAGUACCCGAGAUCCAGACCAGACUUCCUGUUUCUAGUUAAUGAAGCUGCAUUUAGACAACAAGCUGACCCUCCAAUUCCUGGAAUAUCUGCUAGAUUAAAUGAGGAGAAAAACCGUGUGGAUCUGGAGAUCGAUGGCACUGCAUUAACUGAUUCUGCUCUGUACUACUGUGCCCUGCAGCCCACAGUGACAGGAAACACACAUACACUGUACAAAAAUCAGACACAUUAAAAUAGAAUUCAGUGUCUGUGCUCGGGGGGUGAUUAUAAAUGCUUAUAUUUGAAAAUGUUGGUCCAGAAUUGUGUGCCAAUGAGUUUCAAUUGUCAUUGUGUUCAAGAAAUCAGAAUACUGAAAUGCAUUUAACUAGAAGUUCUUACAGUUCUUACCAGUAUGCAGUCUACAUUUUGACACAUCUUAGUCUUAAUUUUGUCAGUGCAUCAGGAGCAUUAUUAUUAUGUUGUGCUGCACAAUGAGGAAUGUUUUCUGACAUUUCUCAUUACAUUCAUUAUUAAAGCAUUUUCUAAUCUGUGAUCUAAUCACUUUUACCACUCACAUUUGUUGUCAAAAAGUUGCCAUUUUGAUAUGAUGCCAAAUGUGAUGAUUAUGAAUAUACUAGACUACCUAUUCACAUAUAAAAUACUACAUAUUAGUAGUCAAGAUGGAUUUUUUUCAAAUUGGUUUAUCACGAUUUUUCGGCACCAACAAACAUACCGAUCCAGGAACAUGUUGCACUUGAUAAAAUCAGGUUCUGCAAUAUAAACCCUUCAAGAUACCAUGCACCUUUUUUUUUUGAGAGAGAGAGAGAGUGUAUCAUUUUAUGAAAUUAUAAUCACAUAGCAAUGAAGUGGGUGGAGCUUCAAGAUAUUGUGUUGGGGUUCAUCUCUAAACUGACUUCAGUCUGUU